UGGUGAAAUGAUGGCAUCAUCUUUCGGGACUGACAUUCAUCAUGGAGAUGUCUUUUAUAUGUACUGAUCACAC
Molecule: small nucleolar RNA, 73 nt
Organism: Engraulis encrasicolus (European anchovy)
Lineage: Eukaryota; Metazoa; Chordata; Actinopteri; Clupeiformes; Engraulidae
Product: small nucleolar RNA SNORD2
Exons: 1
Source: RefSeq, a predicted model, not a curated record